GAUGAACGCUGGCGGCGUGCCUAAUACAUGCAAGUCGAGCGAACGGACGAGAAGCUUGCUUUUCUGAUGUUAGCGGCGGACGGGUGAGUCACGCGUGGAUAACCUACCUAUAAGACUGGGAUAACUUCGGGACACCGGAGCUAAUACCGGAUAAUAUUUUGAACCGCAUGGUUCAAAAGUGAGAGACGGUCUUGCUGUCACUUCUCGAUGGAUCCGCGCUGCAUUAGCUAGUUGUUAAGGUAACGGCGUACCAAGGCUACGAUGCAUAGCCGACCUGAGAGGGGGAUAGCCCACAUGGGAACUGAGCCACGGUCCAGACUCCUACGGGAGGCAGCAGUAGGGAACCUUACGCAAUGGGCGAAAGCCUGACGGAGCAACGCCGCGUGAGUGAUGAAGGUCUCCGGAUCGUAAAACUCUGUUAUGAGGGAAGAACAGAUGUGUAAGUAAAUGUGCACAUCUUGACGGUACCUAAUCAGAAAGCAACGGCUAACUACGUG
RNAcentral lists this ribosomal RNA (497 nucleotides) under uncultured bacterium. Its description in RNAcentral is "partial 16S ribosomal RNA". It matches the Rfam family "Bacterial small subunit ribosomal RNA", at positions 28 to 507 of the family's 1533-position model. The record is from RNAcentral.